This 211-nucleotide unclassified non-coding RNA is filed under the name Hevea brasiliensis (rubber tree). The record is from RNAcentral. Lineage: Eukaryota; Viridiplantae; Streptophyta; Magnoliopsida; Malpighiales; Euphorbiaceae.
UAAAAAGUUGUGCUGAUGAGAUGGACAAAGUUAUCUCAGCGUGUUGUUUCUGUCACAGUAUGCUUGCUACUUAAGCAGGGAGGAGAAAUAUAGAAUUUUGUACAAAAAUCUACAUGUUGAACAGAGGAGCUAAAAAUGAGUCCAUAAUAUAAUCACAUUCAGCUUUUUUCAUGCCCAGGUAAUAUCAACAUACUCUGUUGCCAACAGUUCG